RNAcentral lists this ribosomal RNA (465 nucleotides) under uncultured bacterium. RNAcentral describes it as "bacterial SSU rRNA". It matches the Rfam family "Bacterial small subunit ribosomal RNA", at positions 27 to 342 of the family's 1533-position model. The record is from RNAcentral.
GAUGAAACGCUGGCGGCAUGCCUAAUACAUGCAAGUCGAACGAAGUCUUUAGGAAGCUUGCUUCCAAAGAGACUUAGUGGCGAACGGGUGAGUAACACGUAGGUAACCUGCCCAUGUGCCCGGGAUAACUGCUGGAAACGGUAGCUAAAACCGGAUAGGUAUGAGGGAGGCAUCUUCCUCAUAUUAAAGCACCUUCGGGUGUGAACAUGGAUGGACCUGCGGCGCAUUAGCUGGUUGGUGAGGUAACGGCCCACCAAGGCGAUGAUGCGUAGCCGACCUGAGAGGGUGAUUAAUACAAGAUGGCAUCAUGAGUCCGCAUGUUCACAUGAUUAAAGGUAUUCCGGUAGACGAUGGGGAUGCGUUCCAUUAGAUAGUAGGCGGGUAACGGCCCACCUAGUCUUCGAUGGAUAGGGUUCUGAGAGGAAGGUCCCCACAUUGGAACUGAGACACGGUCCAAACUCCUAC